GUGGGGGAUAUUGCACAAUGGGGGAAACCCUGAUGCAGCGACGCCGCGUGAAGGAAGACGUACUUCGGUAUGUAAACUUCUAUCAGCAGGGAAGAAGAUGACGGUACCUGACUAAGAAGCCCCGGCUAACUACGUGCCAGCAGCCGCGGUAAUACGUAGGGGGCAAGCGUUAUCUGGAUUUACUGGGUGUAAAGGGAGCGUAGACGGUGAAGCAAGUCUGAUGUGAAAACCCGGGGCUCAACUCCGGGAUUGCAUUGGAAACUGUUUUACUUGAGUGCUGGAGGGGCAAGCGGAAUUCCUGGUGUAGCGGUGAAAUGCGUAGAUAUCAGGAAGAACACCGGUGGCGAAGGCGGCUUGCUGGACAGUAACUGACGUUGAGGCUCGAAAGCGUGGGGAGCAAACAGGAUUAGAUACCCUGGUAGUCC
RNAcentral lists this ribosomal RNA (425 nucleotides) under uncultured bacterium. RNAcentral's name for it is "partial 16S ribosomal RNA". It matches the Rfam family "Bacterial small subunit ribosomal RNA", at positions 354 to 796 of the family's 1533-position model. The record is from RNAcentral.